This 218-nucleotide long non-coding RNA is filed under the name Prunus persica (peach). RNAcentral's name for it is "long non-coding RNA (PPER_LNC007175)". The record is from RNAcentral. Lineage: Eukaryota; Viridiplantae; Streptophyta; Magnoliopsida; Rosales; Rosaceae.
GGGAGGGUUGGGGGGGAAACCCAAAAUGGUGUUUCCAGCAACAAAGAUCUGCCAGGGCAAGGAGUGGGGCCCAACAAACUGGGCUGGCCCGAGCUCAAGCCCGACUUUUCCAGCAAUCCAACGGCAGCCAUUUUUUUCCGAAUAAAAAAAUCGAAACUGCCCCCCCCAACGGCUCUCUUCCACGUGGCUCCUUAUGGGCUCUCUGAUCCCCUUUUUCC